RNAcentral lists this long non-coding RNA (1369 nucleotides) under Fukomys damarensis (Damara mole-rat). Its description in RNAcentral is "lncRNA (ENSFDAG00000031517.1)". Lineage: Eukaryota; Metazoa; Chordata; Mammalia; Rodentia; Bathyergidae. The record is from RNAcentral.
CUGAGGCAGGAGGAUCUCCAGGGUGGUCAUCCCAGAGUGGGGCCCGACGGGAGGCCCCAGAGUCGAGUCCCUCCCGGAGGGGCGGGGCGGGGCGGCGGCCACAAGUGCACUCACGGUAAUCGGAGACCCAGCGCUGCAUGGAGAGGAGAGGGCGCGAGCCGUUGUGGAUGGAGAAGUCCAGGACCCUGUCGGCCCCUUCCAGGAGGCACCCGGCCGUGUGGCCGCCCUGGACCAGGUAGGUGGUGCACGGCGCGUACGCCCGGUCGUCCCGGAACCUGGGGGAGGAUGGGAUCGCGGUGUCGUCCUCACCGGAGGCCGACGGCCACUGCUGUGUCCCACACCCCACGGUGGACCGGGGUGGCCGCGUCCCCCUCGCGCCCCACGACCCCAUAAGGACAGAGAGGAGGACACACACGCAGAGGAGACCACGGAGACGGAAGGAGAGACUGGAGCAGGCAGAGGCAGGAGGGUCUCCCCGGAGCCUGCGCAGGCGGAGCCGGUCCCGAGCCUCAACCUCACGUUCGACCCGAGGUCCAGGGAGCUGAGCUGGGACUGCCUGGAAAACACCACCGACGUCCUCUGCACCAUGGUUCACCGGGAGAUGGGCCCCAUUGGGAUAAAGGUGGGGUCGGCCUGUGCCCGUUCAGAGACACGGCCACGGCCAGCGUGAGCAUCCGUGUCCCGGGCGACUCGGCGGUGGCCCUUUUCAGGGCUGCAUAGUGCUCCGCGGUGUGUCACACAUCCCCUUAACCGAACGGACACCGAGGCCGAAUCUAAGAUUUAGCCAUCGUGACUUCUGUUUUCGAAGCACGGGUGUGCGUGGGUCCCAGUAAUAUGACGUCUUCCCUCCUCCUUUUUCCACCUCCCUGCCUUGCCCGUCCUCCACCUUCCCCCUCCGUCCGCCCCUUUCUGUCUUUCCUUCCCCGCUGCCUCCUUUCAUUUUAUCCAUUCGAGGGCCGGGGGUUGAGCUCGGUGUCGCCGCGCACCUACCUCGUAAGCACGAGGUCCUGAGUUCGAUCCCUGGUGCCACCAAAAAAACAGUCCUUUGAGGCAGGGCCUCUCAGUCCCUCCGUGGCCCACACGGAGAGAGAACUCGAGGCUCUCCCGCCUCAGCCUCCCAGAGUGCAGGGCUGAGGUGACGGCCCGAGCCGUGGCCACGCCCGUCUUCCCCUGGGAAGCUGCUCCAGGGCUGCCACGACGUUUGCCCCCAAAGUGGGUUUGUGGGGGCCCCUCUGGGGUGCGUGAGGGAAGAAGGCGGGGCGGACUCGGGGAGGCGGGCGGCGUCGCGUGAGAACAAAGCCCAGAAGUCGGCGGAGAGGAGGAGGAGGGUUUGCCGAUCGGCUGUGUGACCGUUUCAGCUCCGGGGGGA